Long non-coding RNA from Camelus dromedarius (Arabian camel), 328 nucleotides. RefSeq lists it as uncharacterized. The transcript is spliced from 3 exons. NCBI's taxonomy places the organism in Eukaryota, Metazoa, Chordata, Mammalia, Artiodactyla, Camelidae. The record is from RefSeq and is a predicted model, not a curated record.
GCAUGGCCUCUGGACACAGACAGCCUGGGUUUGAAUCCUGACCCUGCUGCCUUAGGGCACCAGGUCCCUGGGAACUGGAGGAUGAGUAAGACCCAGGACCGGCAGCCCCACCUGAUGGAGCACAGACUGGGGAGACCACAUUUCUGCCUCGAGGAUCAGCGACAGCUUCCUGGAGGAGACAGCUCAGGGGAGGAGCAAAGGCCACGGGCAAGUGCCUCUUCUCUCCACGCCUCAGUUUCCACAUCCACAAAUGCAGACAUGCUGAGUGCCUAGACCACAUCCCUCAGAUCUUACCACCUCAAUGUUCUCCAACCAACUUCCAGCUGCC